This 425-nucleotide ribosomal RNA is filed under the name uncultured bacterium. Its description in RNAcentral is "partial 16S ribosomal RNA". It matches the Rfam family "Bacterial small subunit ribosomal RNA", at positions 354 to 796 of the family's 1533-position model. The record is from RNAcentral.
GUGGGGAAUAUUGCACAAUGGGCGAAAGCCUGAUGCAGCGACGCCGCGUGAGCGAAGAAGUAUUUCGGUAUGUAAAGCUCUAUCAGCAGGGAAGAUAAUGACGGUACCUGACUAAGAAGCACCGGCUAAAAACGUGCCAGCAGCCGCGGUAAUACGUAUGGUGCAAGCGUUAUCCGGAUUUACUGGGUGUAAAGGGAGCGCAGGCGGUGCGGCAAGUCUGAUGUGAAAGCACGGGGCUCAACCCCGGUACUGCAUUGGAAACUGUCGUACUAGAGUGUCGGAGGGGUAAGCGGAAUUCCUAGUGUAGCGGUGAAAUGCGUAGAUAUUAGGAGGAACACCAGUGGCGAAGGCGGCUUACUGGACGAUAACUGACGCUGAGGCUCGAAAGCGUGGGGAGCAAACAGGAUUAGAUACCCCUGUAGUCC